UACGUAGGUGGCAAGCGUUGUCCGGAUUUACUGGGUGUAAAGGGCGUGUAGCCGGGAAGGCAAGUCAGAUGUGAAAUCUGGAGGCUCAACCUCCAAACUGCAUUUGAAACUGCUUUUCUUGAGUAUCGGAGAGGUAAUCGGAAUUCCUUGUGUAGCGGUGAAAUGCGUAGAUAUAAGGAAGAACACCAGUGGCGAAGGCGGAUUACUGGACGACAACUGACGGUGAGGCGCGAAAGCGUGGGGAGCAAAC
RNAcentral lists this ribosomal RNA (250 nucleotides) under uncultured bacterium. Its description in RNAcentral is "partial 16S ribosomal RNA". It matches the Rfam family "Bacterial small subunit ribosomal RNA", at positions 524 to 773 of the family's 1533-position model. The record is from RNAcentral.